RNAcentral lists this ribosomal RNA (1081 nucleotides) under Moraxella sp. RNAcentral's name for it is "bacterial SSU rRNA". It matches the Rfam family "Bacterial small subunit ribosomal RNA", at positions 12 to 1091 of the family's 1533-position model. Lineage: Bacteria; Pseudomonadati; Pseudomonadota; Gammaproteobacteria; Moraxellales; Moraxellaceae. The record is from RNAcentral.
UUUGAUCAUGGCUCAGAUUGAACGCUGGCGGCAGGCUUAACACAUGCAAGUCGAACGAUGACUCUCUAGCUUGCUAGAGAUGAUUAGUGGCGGACGGGUGAGUAACAUUUAGGAAUCUACCUAGUAGUGGGGGAUAGCUCGGGGAAACUCGAAUUAAUACCGCAUACGACCUACGGGUGAAAGGGGGCGCAAGCUCUUGCUAUUAGAUGAGCCUAAAUCAGAUUAGCUAGUUGGUGGGGUAAAGGCCCACCAAGGCGACGAUCUGUAACUGGUCUGAGAGGAUGAUCAGUCACACCGGAACUGAGACACGGUCCGGACUCCUACGGGAGGCAGCAGUGGGGAAUAUUGGACAAUGGGGGCAACCCUGAUCCAGCCAUGCCGCGUGUGUGAAGAAGGCCUUUUGGUUGUAAAGCACUUUAAGCAGGGAGGAGAGGCUAAUGGUUAAUACCCAUUAGAUUAGACGUUACCUGCAGAAUAAGCACCGGCUAACUCUGUGCCAGCAGCCGCGGUAAUACAGAGGGUGCGAGCGUUAAUCGGAAUUACUGGGCGUAAAGCGAGUGUAGGUGGCUCAUUAAGUCACAUGUGAAAUCCCCGGGCUUAACCUGGGAACUGCAUGUGAUACUGGUGGUGCUAGAAUAUGUGAGAGGGAAGUAGAAUUCCAGGUGUAGCGGUGAAAUGCGUAGAGAUCUGGAGGAAUACCGAUGGCGAAGGCAGCUUCCUGGCAUAAUAUUGACACUGAGAUUCGAAAGCGUGGGUAGCAAACAGGAUUAGAUACCCUGGUAGUCCACGCCGUAAACGAUGUCUACUAGCCGUUGGGGUCCUUGAGACUUUAGUGGCGCAGUUAACGCGAUAAGUAGACCGCCUGGGGAGUACGGCCGCAAGGUUAAAACUCAAAUGAAUUGACGGGGGCCCGCACAAGCGGUGGAGCAUGUGGUUUAAUUCGAUGCAACGCGAAGAACCUUACCUGGUCUUGACAUAGUGAGAAUCUCUCAGAGAUGAGAGAGUGCCUUCGGGAACUCACAUACAGGUGCUGCAUGGCUGUCGUCAGCUCGUGUCGUGAGAUGUUGGGUUAAGUCCCGCA